This 30-nucleotide small RNA is filed under the name Plasmodium falciparum 3D7. Its description in RNAcentral is "Pfa-npcR7249". The record is from RNAcentral. Lineage: Eukaryota; Apicomplexa; Aconoidasida; Haemosporida; Plasmodiidae.
AGGCUCAUUUUUUUAUUAAUACACAAUUUG